This 450-nucleotide ribosomal RNA is filed under the name uncultured bacterium. RNAcentral's name for it is "partial 16S ribosomal RNA". It matches the Rfam family "Bacterial small subunit ribosomal RNA", at positions 330 to 795 of the family's 1533-position model. The record is from RNAcentral.
CCCAGACUCCUACGGGAGGCAGCAGUGGGGAAUAUUGCACAAUGGGCGAAAGCCUGAUGCAGCAACGCCGCGUGAAGGAAGAAGGCCUUCGGGUCGUAAACUUCUUUCCUUGGGGAAGAAGAACUGACGGUACCUGACUAAGAAGCCCCGGCUAACUACGUGCCAGCAGCCGCGGUAAUACGUAGGGGGCAAGCGUUAUCCGGAUUCACUGGGUGUAAAGGGAGCGUAGACGGCGGCGCAAGUCUGGAGUGAAAGCCCGGGGCCCAACCCCGGGGCUGCUCUGGAAACUGCGGCGCUGGAGUACGGGAGGGGCAGGCGGAAUUCCUGGUGUAGCGGUGAAAUGCGUAGAUAUCAGGAGGAGCACCGGCGGCGAAGGCGGCCUGCUGGACCGUGACUGACGCUGAGGCUCGAGAGCGUGGGGAGCAAACAGGAGUAGAUACCCCUGUAUCC